GGAUGGGGCCCCAGAAUAUGCAUUUACAGCAACCUCCCAGGUGAUUUUUGACAACACUUGCAGCUCUUUCUGUCAUGCUGGACCCUCUUGCCAGGAUUAUCCUCCCUCUUGGCAAAGUAAGAGGGUGCCUGCCCAAAAAAGCUUCUCUCUCUGUUAAAAAUUCCACUGGUGAAGCUUUGCUCCUUGGGUUAGGAGCUUGCCCCUAGAAGUGGUCUUGUCAGCAAAGAUGUUAGAGGAUAAAGACAGCUGGCUGAUGGCCAAAUUGUGUCUGGGGCCCCUGGGUGGAGACACAGGCUGAACUUCCCAGACAAGAAAAAGGCUUAAUCAUAUUGCCCAAGGGCCAUGAUCUAGCUCAGCCUGAAGCCAGGGAGAGGCUGAGAAAUAAGCCAUUUGUUCUUUGCUGGCGUGGGAAGAGCUCGGGUUUUGGAGAAGCAGCGUGGACAUUGGACUGUGACCCUGAACGUUGCCUUCAACUUCUCUGAGGCUCAGCCUCCUCCUCUGAGAUACGUUCCUCACGCAGCUGUUGUGAGUAGAUGAAAUAAUGUAUGUAAAGCUCCACAAGGCUUCGGCAUACAGGAGAGGCUCAAUGCUGCUUGUUGAAUGCAUGAACAGAGACCCACCCACUUCCUCUUGGGGAGUCCAGCCGAGGACAGUGUGGCUUGAAGAACAUUCUAAUCCCAGCCCGAGAGCUCUGAGAGAAAAAAUGACUACAAACCCUGGAAUGUGAAGCCUGCUGCUUCCUGCAAAGCAUUUUGAAUGAAACACGUAACCAACAGCUGCAGCACAGAGAAUGGAAACUCUGAGGAACGUCAUGGCUCCAGGUUCCAAAUAGCAGGGUUGUGAGCAGGACAGGCUCUUCAUUUCAGCCCAACCUGGACACCCUCAGCAGCACCCCUCCCUGCUCUCCUUCCAGGAAGCGGGCCCGUCAUGCCAAGGAUGUGCCGCUGUUGCUCGCUUAUUCCAAACACCCCCGGCCCCCAACACAGCCAGACAUCCCCGUGUAUAGGGGUGAGGCCCCCUUCCCACUCACCAGCCCCCAGAGACAUUGAGGACACCCAAGCCCAGCCACUCUGCCCUCUCAGGAGCAGGUUAAUGCAUCCCUCAACAUGACUCCCAUCCUGGAACUCAGCCCCAGGCCAGGCUGGGCAGUGCCAGCCAAUUCAUGCAAUGCAGGAAGAUAUCAUUGCCAAAGCUGCUCUAGGGCAGACUUGGGGUGAGGGGGCAGGACAGAGAGCCCAUGAGGAGCAAGAGGCCCUAGAAUUGGAGAAUUCCUGAAGAUCACUCCUGCAUGAAGGGGAGACAUGCGAACAUUUUUUCAACUUCUUUAGGGAGAUAUAACACACUCAGUAAAACACACUCGUCUUAAUGGCGUGGCUUGAUGAACUUUUACAUACAAACACACCUGGAUGAAAUGUAGAACACUGCAAAUACCCCAGAAGAUUCCCUGGAUCCCCUUCCCAGUCAACAUUCGUCCCCCUCAGAGGUGACCGUGAUUUGGAACUUCUCUCACCAUCAAUUAAUUUUGCCUCUUUUUGAACCUCAUUGAAAUGGAAUCACCAACAGCAUGUGCUUUCAUGACCAGCUUACCUAGUUCAUCCUGUCUAUGAGAUUCAUCCACGAUGCAGACACACUAAUGACCCCAUGGCACCUCCCACACUCCAGGUGCUGUACCAAGGAUGUCAUGGUUACUUGUUUACACUAAGGCCUUGACAUUGAACCCAUUUUCCAGAUAAGGAAGUUGGUUGAAUCAGCAGUUCAUUGCCACACAGUCAGGACUUGGAGAGACUGGAAUUCAAACCCAAGAGAGAACCAGAACAGAUUCUCUCUUCUAUUUUCUCUUAACAAACUUACAGAGACCUGCCUCCAUUAUACCUAGAGAUCUACAGCCUGGAAUUUCCUCACAAGGGAGACCUGUUUCAGGGUUUUGUGCUCUUGGGAACCCAACAGGAGCACCCAUUUUACUUUAGUCCCCUAUUCCUUGGGGGACAUGGGCAAGGCAGAAGAGGAGGGGUGAGCAGCAGGUGAGGAGGGGUGAGCAGCAGGUAAGGAGGGCGUCUCAGGAGGCCCAGACCCAGGCAGAAAAGGUUUCACAGGAAGAGAAUGAAGAGGUUCAUUCAUUUAGUCAGCCAAUAUUUAUUGAAUGCCUGCUGUAUGGCAGGCGCUGUCCUAGGCACUUACUUUUUGGUUAUCUACCUGUAUGUAUCAAACCACUCUAAAAUGCAGUGGCUUAAAAUGGACAACAAACAUUUAUUAUCUCUUAUAACUUUAUAAGUUGGCUGAGCAGUUCUUCCACUGAUCUCACCAAGGGACUUUUAUGCUGCUGCAGCCAGAUGGCAGCUGGAACUGAAGUCAUCUGGGAGCUAGACUGGGCUGGCUGAGUCAAGAUGGUGGCCUCACAUGUCAGGUACCCUGGAAAGAACCUGGAGGGCUGGGCUAGGCUGGGACUGGUGCAUUGAUGGGAUUCCUUCUCUCCUGCUGUCCUGUAUGGGCUCCUCCUUCUCCAUGUGGCCCUUCCACAUCUCCUCUUCAUGCGCAUUUCUCCAAGAGGGUAUCCAGACUUCUUACAUCACAGCUAAGGGCUCCCAGAAGUAAUAAAGUGGAAGUCACCAAGCCUUAUUAAAGUUUAGGACUGGCAAUGGCUUGGCACCACUUUGGACAUAUUUUGCUGCUUAAGGUGAAUUACAAGCCUGGACCAGAUUCAGCACGGGAAGGAACUCUAGAAGGGAAUGAAUAUCAUCCAGGGCCAUCUUUGGAGAGUAGCGACCACCCCCCCAAAAAGAAAAUCAUUGUCUUUUUUCAUUUAUUCAACAAACAUUCACUGUCAGGCACAUAGUUCCUUCUUAAAUAGAGUACACUUAAAGUAAACACCACUUUUGUUUGACUCACUAUCAUUCAAGAUACCAGCCACUGAGAAGCUCUGUAAAGGGUAAAUAGCAUUCAUUGAGAGUUUACUGCAUACCAGACCCUGAGCUCAGUGCUUUACAAAGUCUAACUCAUUUACUCCUUACUUGUUUUCCCUCCUUUGAAGUAGGUAUUAUUGUUUGUCCUGUUUUCUAGAUCACUUAGAAAAGAGGUUAUGUAUUGCUGAAUAACAAACCACCUCCAAACUUAGUGGUUUAAAACAACAAUAAUCAUUUAUUAUCAUUCAUGGUUUCUUUGGAUCAGCUGGGAAGUUCUGGCUUGGGGUCUCAUGAAGCUGUAGUCAGACUGUGACUGAGGAUAGGAUCAGUUUCAAGGCUUCUUCACUCACAGGUCUGGUGCCUGGGCUGGGAGGACACAAACAAGCGGAGGCUGCGAAAGCCAGGGUCUUUCAGGCAUCUCUCUAUCUGUGUGGUUUCUCCACAUGAGCUCUCCAACAUGGCAGCCCCAAAAUAGCUGGACUUUUUUUUUUUGAGACGGAGUUUUGCUCUUGUUGCCCAGGCUGGAACGCAAUGACACGAUCUUGGCUCACUGCAACCUCUGCCUCCCAGAUUCAAGCAAUUCUUCUGCCUCAACCUCCCGAGUAGCUGGGAUUACAGGCGCCCACCACCAUGGCUGGCUAAUUUUUUUUUGUAUUUUUAGUAGAGAUGGGGUUUCUCCGUGUUGGCCAGGCUGGUGUCAAACUCCUGACCUCAGGUGACCCGCCCACCUUGUCCUCCCAAAGUGCUGAAAUUACAGGCAUGAGCCACCGCGCCCGGCUAUAGCUGGAGUUUUUUACAUGGCCACUCAGCAAUCCAAAGGCAUAUAUCCAGAGAGACAGAAGCUGCGUCACUUUUCCUGAUCCAGAACUUGGAAGCCAUGCAGUGUCACUUCUACCUCAUUCUAUUUGUUAAGGCAGUUAAAAAGGCCUGCCCAGGUACAGCAGGAGGGAGAAACAGUUCCAUUUCUUGAUAGGAAAUGGGUCAACAAUCUGAGCCAUAUUUAAAACCACCAUAGUCUAUCCUCUGGACAUAAAUUAUUUACAUUCCUUUCACAUACAAAAUAUACUCAUUCCUUUGCAAAGAUCCCCCAAAAUCUCAUCUAUUAUGGCAUCAGAUUUAGGCUAGAGAGGUCUAGGAUCCCAUUAUAUCAACCAUUCAGGUAUGGAGGAAGUUCCUCAGAUGUAAUUCCUCAGGCACAUUUCCUUAAGUACUAUUCCUCUUUAUUCAGAGACUUGUGAACUAAAGAGACAAGUUAUCUGCUACUGGACCGCAUGCAGUGGCUCACACCUGUAAUCCCAGCACUUUGGGAGGCCAAGGCAGUUGGAUCACCUGAGGUCAGGAGUUCAAGACCAGCCUAGCCAACAUGGUGAAACUCUCUCUCUACUAAAAAUACAAAAAUUAAUUGGGCAUGGUGGCAGGCACCUAUAAUCCCAGCUACUCAGCAGGCUGAGACAGAAGAAUCGCUUGAACCCAGGAGGCGGAGGUUGCAGCAAGCCAAGAUCACACCAUUGCACUCCAGCCUGGGCAACAAGAGUGAAACACUGUGUCAAAAAAAAAAAAAAAAAAAAAGUUAUCUGCUGCUUACACACUGAACAUCCAAUGAUGAGAUAGGCAUAGUGUAGCCACUAUAAACACUCUUAUUCAAGAGAGGGGAGAGGAGGCACAGAGCCAUGACUGGUCCAUAGCAAUUCUGAAAUCCAUUCAGGCUCAUAUUGUGUUGCCAAUUUCUUGAUUAGGGCUCAGUUCUACUGCCUGGGAAUGAUUCUUUGUGGCUUUUGGCUCUGUUCUCUAGAUUCUUGGUUCCACCUUCUGAAUCAUCCUUCUUUCUCUAUAAAAAAUGGCUGGUGAUAUGGUUUGGCUAUGUCCCACCCAAAUCUCAUCUUGAAUUUCCACGUGUUGUGGGAGGGACCUGGUGGGAGGUAAUUGAAUCAUGGGGGCAAGUCUUUCCCGUGCUGUUCUUGUGAUAGUGAAUAAGACUCACGAGAUCUGAUGGUUUUAAAAAAAGAAGCACAAGCUCAUCUUCUCUUUGCCUGCCACCAUCCACGUAAAAUGUGACUUGCUCCUCGUUGCCUUCUGCCAUGAUUGUGAGGCUUCCCCAGCCAUGUGGAACUGUAAGUCCAAUUAAACUUCUUUCUUUUGUAAAUUGCCCAGUCUCAGGUAUGUCUUUAUCAGCAGUGUGAAAACAGACCAAUACACCUGGUGUUUCCAACUGAGUAGUUUUCAGCUUGUUUCCUUCCCAUAGAAUUUUGGGGGUCCAAAAGCCUUUUUUCAUUUCACACUAUUCUGACCCUUUUUGCCCAAGCUGGUGGUGCUUCUGACAAAAUAAUUCUAUUAAAAACUGUGUGGGUUUCCCAUGAAUCCUAUUGGGGCUCACUCUGUUAGUCAAAAGCUAUAACCAAACAUUUCAUCAAGAAAACAUUCUCUACAUUCUCAAUGUGAGGCUGGUGUAAAACGAUUUACUU
RNAcentral lists this long non-coding RNA (5362 nucleotides) under Homo sapiens (human). RNAcentral describes it as "HSALNT0030819". Lineage: Eukaryota; Metazoa; Chordata; Mammalia; Primates; Hominidae. The record is from RNAcentral.